AAUGGAGACCAGACAAUAGACCGAGAAGAUAAGGGCAUUACAAUGGAGACUAUACAGUCCCAGAAGGUAAGGGCAUUACAAUGGAGACUAUACAGUCCCAGAAGGUAAGGGCAUUACAAUGGAGACUAUACAGUCCCAGAAGGUGAGGGCAUUACAAUGGAGACUAUACAGUCCCAGAAGGUGAGGGCAUUACAAUGGAGACUAUACAGUCCCAGAAGGUAAGGGCAUUACAAUGGAGACUAUACAGUCCCAGAAGGUAAGGGCAUUACAAUGGAGACUAUACAGUCCCAGAAGGUGAGGGCAUUACAAUGGAGACAAGACAAUAGACCGAGAAGGUAAGGGCAUUACAAUGGAGACUAUACAGUCCCAGAAGGUAAGGGCAUUACAAUGGAGACUAUACAGUCCCAGAAGGUAAGGGCAUUACAAUGGAGACUAUACAGUCCCAGAAGGUAAGGGCAUUACAAUGGAGACUAUACAGUCCCAGAAGGUGAGGGCAUUACAAUGGAGACUAUACAGUCCCAGAAGGUGAGGGCAUUACAAUGGAGACUAUACAGUCCCAGAAGGUAAGGGCAUUACAAUGGAGACUAUACAGUCCCAGAAGGUGAGGGCAUUACAAUGGAGACUAUACAGUCCCAGAAGGUGAGGGCAUUACAAUGGAGACUAUACAGUCCCAGAAGGUGAGGGCAUUACAAUGGAGACUAUACAGUCCCAGAAGGUGAGGGCAUUACAGUGGAGACGAGACAAUACAGUCCCAGAAGGUGAGGGCAUUACAAUGGAGACAAUAAAGCCCCAGAAGGUAAGGACAUUACAAUGGAGACAAUACAGUCCCAGAAGGUGAGGGCAUUACAAUGGAGACAAGACAAUAGACAGAGAAGGUAAGGGCAUUACAAUGGAGACAAGACAAUAGACCGAGAAGGUAAGGGCAUUACAAUGGAGACAAUACAGUCCCAGAAGGUAAGGGCAUUACAAUGGAGACAAUACAGUCCCAGAAGGUGAGGGCAUUACAAUGGAGACUAUACAGUCCCAGAAGGUGAGGGCAUUACAAUGGAGACUAUACAGUCCCAGAAGGUAAGGGCAUUACAAUGGAGACUAUACAGUCCCAGAAGGUAAGGGCAUUACAAUGGAGACUAUACAGUCCCAGAAGGUAAGGGCAUUACAAUGGAGACUAUACAGUCCCAGAAGGUGAGGGCAUUACAAUGGAGACUAUACAGUCCCAGAAGGUAAGGGCAUUACAAUGGAGACAAUACAGUCCCAGAAGGUGAGGGCAUUACAAUGGAGACUAUACAGUCCCAGAAGGUGAGGGCAUUACAAUGGAGACUAUACAGUCCCAGAAGGUGAGGGCAUUACAAUGGAGACUAUACAGUCCCAGAAGGUGAGGGCAUUACAAUGGAGACUAUACAGUCCCAGAAGGUGAGGGCAUUACAAUGGAGACUAUACAGUCCCAGAAGGUGAGGGCAUUACAGUGGAGACGAGACAAUACAGUCCCAGAAGGUGAGGGCAUUACAAUGGAGACAAUAAAGCCCCAGAAGGUAAGGACAUUACAAUGGAGACAAUACAGUCCCAGAAGGUAAGGGCAUUACAAUGGAGACAAGACAAUAGACCGAGAAGGUAAGGGCAUUACAAUGGAGACUAUACAGUCCCAGAAGGUAAGGGCAUUACAAUGGAGACAAUACAGUCCCAGAAGGUGAGGGCAUUACAAUGGAGACAAGACAAUAGACCGAGAAGGUAAGGGCAUUACAAUGGAGACAACACAGUCCCAGAAGAUAAGGGCAUUACAGUGGAGACAAGACAAUAGUCCCAGAAGAUAAGGGCAUUACAGUGGAGACAACACAGUCCCAGAAGAUAAGGGCAUUACAGCGGAGACAAGACAAUAGUCCCAGAAGAUAAGGGCAUUACAAUGGAGACAAGACAAUAGUCCCAGAAGAUAAGGGCAUUACAGUGGAGACAACACAGUCCCAGAAGAUAAGGGCAUUACAGUGGAGACGAGACAAUAGUCCCAGAAGAUAAGGGCAUUACAAUGGAGACAAGACAAUAGUCCCAGAAGAUUUGGGCAUUACAGUGGAGACAACACAGUCCCAGAAGAUUUGGGCAUUACAGUGGAGACAACACAGUCCCAGAAGAUAAGGGCUUUACAGUGGAGACGAGACAGUAGUCCCAGAAGAUAAGGGCAUUACAAUGGAGACAAGACAAUAGUCCCAGAAGAUAAGGGCAUUACAGUGGAGACAACACAGUCCCAGAAGAUAAGGGCAUUACAGUGGAGACGAGACAACACAGUCCCAGAAGGUGAAGGCAUUACAAUGGAGACAAGACAAUACAGUCCCAGAAGAUAAGGGCAUUACAGUGGAGACAAGACAAUACAGUCCCAGAAGGUGAGGGCAUUACAAUGGAGACAAGACAAUACAGUCCCAGAAGAUAAGGGCAUUACAAUGGAGACAAGACAAUACAGUCCCAGAAGAUAAGGGCAUUACAAUGGAGACAAGACAAUACAGUCCCAGAAGAUAAGGGCAUUACAAUGGAGACAAGACAAUACAGUCCCAGAAGAUAAGGGCAUUACAAUGGAGAUGAGACAAUACAGUCCCAGAAGAUAAGGGCAUUACAAUGGAGAUGAGACAAUACAGUCCCAGAAGAUAAGGGCAUUACAAUGGAGACAAGACAAUACAGUCCCAGAAGAUAAGGGCAUUACAAUGGAGACGAGACAAUACAGUCCCAGAAGAUAAGGGCAUUACAAUGGAGAUGAGACAAUACAGUCCCAGAAGAUAAGGGCAUUACAAUGGAGAUGAGACAAUACAGUCCCAGAAGAUAAGGGCAUUACAAUGGAGAUGAGACAAUACAGUCCCAGAAGAUAAGGGCAUUACAAUGGAGAUGAGACAAUACAGUCCCAGAAGAUAAGGGCAUUACAAUGGAGAUGAGACAAUACAGUCCCAGAAGAUAAGGGCAUUACAAUGGAGAUGAGACAAUACAGUCCCAGAAGAUAAGGGCAUUACAAUGGAGAUGAGACAAUACAGUCCCAGAAGAUAAGGGCAUUACAAUGGAGAUGAGACAAUACAGUCCCAGAAGAUAAGGGCAUUACAAUGGAGAUGAGACAAUACAGUCCCAGAAGAUAAGGGCAUUACAGUGGAGAUGAGACAAUACAGU
Molecule: long non-coding RNA, 3135 nt
Organism: Oncorhynchus keta (chum salmon)
Lineage: Eukaryota; Metazoa; Chordata; Actinopteri; Salmoniformes; Salmonidae
Exons: 6
Source: RefSeq, a predicted model, not a curated record